GACGAACGCUGGCGGCGUGCUUAACACAUGCAAGUCGAGCGGUAAGGCCCUUUCGGGGGUACACGAGCGGCGAACGGGUGAGUAACACGUGGGUGACCUGCCCUCAGCUCUGGGAUAAGCCUGGGAAACUGGGUCUAAUACUGGAUAUGACUCCACGGUGCAUGUCGUGGGGUGGAAAGCCUUGUGCGGCUGAGGAUGGGCCCGCGGCCUAUCAGCUUGUUGGUGGGGNGAUGGCCUACCAAGGCGACGACGGGUAGCCGGCCUGAGAGGGCGACCGGCCACACUGGGACUGAGACACGGCCCAGACUCCUACGGGAGGCAGCAGUGGGGAAUCCUGCGCAAUGGGCGAAAGCCUGACGCAGCGACGCCGCGUGAGGGAUGACGGCCU
Molecule: ribosomal RNA, 388 nt
Filed under: uncultured bacterium
Lineage: Bacteria
Description: bacterial SSU rRNA
Rfam family: Bacterial small subunit ribosomal RNA
Source: RNAcentral